Molecule: ribosomal RNA, 1532 nt
Filed under: uncultured bacterium
Lineage: Bacteria
Description: bacterial SSU rRNA
Rfam family: Bacterial small subunit ribosomal RNA
Source: RNAcentral
AGAGUUUGAUCCUGGCUCAGAGCGAACGCUGGCGGCGUGGAUAAGGCAUGCAAGUCGUGCGAUCCGUCGCAAGACGGAGAGCGGCAAACGGGUGAGUAACGCGUAGGAAACCUGCCCUAGAGCGGGGGAUACCCUGGUGAAAACCAGGUUAAUACCGCAUGCACUCUUUUUCUCGCAUGAGAAACUGAGUAAAGGUGGCUGAAACCGCAAGGUUGCUACCGCUGUAGGAGGGUCCUGCGUCCCAUCAGCUUGUUGGUAGGGUAACGGCCUACCAAGGCAUAUGACGGGUAGCUAGCUUGAGAGAGUGCUUAGCCACACUGGGACUGAGACACUGCCCAGACUCCUACGGGAGGCUGCAGUCGAGAAUCAUUGGCAAUGGGCGAAAGCCUGACCAUGCGACGCCGCGUGCGGGAUGAAGGCCCUCGGGUCGUAAACCGCUGUUACGAGGGACGAAGGCUCGUGCUGUAAAUAAUGGCGCGGGCUUGACGGUACCUUGGAAGAAAGCCACGGCAAACUCCGUGCCAGCAGCCGCGGUAAGACGGAGGUGGCGAGCGUUGCUCGGAUUUACUGGGUGUAAAGGGCUCGUAGGCGGUCUCGUAAGCCCUGCCUGAAAGGUUCUGGCUCAACCAGGACAUGCGGUAGGGAACUGCAGGACUUGAGGACGGAAGAGGCGAAUGGAAUUCCCGGUGUAAGGGUGAAAUCUGUAGAUAUCGGGAGGAACACCAGUGGCGAAGGCGGUUCGCUGGUCCGUUUCUGACGCUGAGGAGCGAAAGCUAGGGGAGCAAACAGGAUUAGAUACCCUGGUAGUCCUAGCCGUAAACGAUGGACACUAGGUGUUGGCUCCUAUGGAGUCAGUGCCGCAGGUAACCCGUUAAGUGUCCCACCUGAGGAGUACGGCCGCAAGGUUGAAACUCAAAGGAAUUGACGGGGGCCAGCACAAGCGGUGGAACAUGUGGUUUAAUUCGAUGCUACGCGAAGAACCUUACCCAGGCUUGACAUGCAAGCAGUAGGAACCUGAAAGGGGGACGACCCGUAACCAGACCGGGAACUUGCACAGGUGCUGCAUGGCUGUCGUCAGCUCGUGCCGUGAGGUGUUGGCUUAAGUGCCAAAACGAGCGCAACCAUUGCGACUAGUUGCCACCAGGUCCCGCAAGGGAUGCUGAGCACUCUAUUCGGACCGCCGGCGAUGAGCUGGAGGAAGGUGGUGAUGACGUCAAGUCCGUACGGCCUUUAUGCCUGGGGCAACACACGUGUUACAAUGGAGCGGACAAUGCGCUGCGAGCCCGCGAGGGUCAGCUAAUCGCCUAAACCGUUCCUCAGUUCGGAUCGUAGGCUGCAAUUCGCCUACGUGAAGCUGGAAUCGCUAGUAACGGCGGAUCAGCACGCCGCCGUGAAUACGUUCCCUGGCCUUGUACACACCGCCCGUCAAGCGAUGGAAGCUGGAAGCACCCGAAGUCGGUGUCCCAACCCGCAAGGGAGGAAGCCGCCGAAGGUGAGGCUGGUGACUGGCGCUAAGUCGUAACAAGGUAACC